UGAUCGCGUCGCGACUGGCGGUCCUGGCGAUGCUCCUCACCGAGCGCGCCGGGCGGGUGGAAACAACCACCGGGGAGCGGCGUGCAGUGCAGACUUCGGGUCGUUCGCCUGGGCCCCGGUC
This 121-nucleotide non-coding RNA is filed under the name Paraoerskovia marina. Its description in RNAcentral is "ZTP sequence". It matches the Rfam family "ZMP/ZTP riboswitch aptamer (pfl RNA motif)". From Rfam's summary of the family: Previously known as pfl RNA. ZMP is also known as AICAR. Lineage: Bacteria; Bacillati; Actinomycetota; Actinomycetes; Micrococcales; Cellulomonadaceae. The record is from Rfam by way of RNAcentral.